RNAcentral lists this long non-coding RNA (7869 nucleotides) under Sus scrofa (pig). RNAcentral describes it as "lncRNA (ENSSSCG00040008878.1)". The record is from RNAcentral. Lineage: Eukaryota; Metazoa; Chordata; Mammalia; Artiodactyla; Suidae.
GUUCUUUGAAAUCUCUCUGAGGAUAUUAAUUAUAAUCAUGUUGAUGUUUUCUUCUGUUCCAUAUAAUUUUUAGAUCUGUGGUAUAUUGAGUUUUUCAAUGUUUUGUUUUCUUGUUUUGAUCACAUUUUAAAAGAGAGUAUGGUUUAAACAAAAUUAAUAACUGGGAGUGUACUUCCUCAGACUGAAUGAUAAUUAGAUUUGCCUUGCAGUCAAAGCCACUUCAGAUUUGAGUUCGUGUUUCCCGUGAUUACUCAGGAAAUUCAUGGGGCUUCUGACCAAGUGGAGUCUCUACCUACUUUGUCUUCUGGAGAAGGUGGUUUCCACCCCUACAGACUGCAGCAAAUUCCUUCAUAUAUUGACUCCGGUGUUCCAUUUGGAGACAACUUAGGGUCACUGGUGCAAAGACUGGUGGUACCGGCUCAAGGGUUCCACCACCUCAGUGAUUAUGACCCACUCCCACAGCUCCAUUAUGCCAGUUUGGGGAUUCUUCCAAGAUUUUAUUUUGCUCAGGAAAUCCUCUCUUCUUUUCCCUUCUUUCUUUCCUUCUUUUCCUUCCUCGCCCAGGAAGCAGCAUUUCCUACCUUUCUUCCUUCCUCUCUUUCUAAUAGAAUGUUUUCCUCCCUGUUACAGGUUUUUGAACAGGUUGGCUGAAAAAAAAAAAAAAAAGCACAACAUGAGAGUUGUGAGUUAAGUUUUAUUUGGGGCUAAAUAAGGACUAUCGCCCAGGAGGCAGCAUUUUUCCCAGAGCACAGAGGGCCUCACUCCUGGGCUCCACCCUGGUCUCCUUUCAGAGGGUGUGGAGGGUUGGGAGCUGCAGGGGCUCAGGAUUCAAUCCACGUGGAGGCAGAUGGCAAAUGCCCGUCUCCAGUUCACAAAGAGAAGAAAAAAAGUUCUUUUAAAAUUAUUUUCAGAUAUACAAAACAGAGGAGCAAAAAUUGCUAUCAUCCCUAAGAAGGCAUGAUUUACAGGUUCAAACUCUCCCAGUGACCAUUUGAAUCCAUAAGGAUUUGUAAGUGAACUUCAUCUUUCAAGGAGUGCCUGUAGAUCAUACGAGGCAGCUCUGUCAUCAAGUCACAAGGAUGUGGGGAAAGAAUUCCUCUAUAAAUCCUGAGCUGACCUGGGAACGGAGUCAGGAGCGCUUAGCUCCUGUGUGCUUUGAUUUUAGUUUUUAUUGGUAUCACAUAUGAUGAUUCAUAUCUGAGGAUAACUCUGGCUGCACUUGGAAACUCAAGUAAAUGACACUUUUUUGUCUGAAUUUAUAAUGAUCAAAAAACUAUAGGACCUUAGGUGAAAUGAGUAAAAUAAUGACUUUUGGUUGAAUAUUUAAAACUUUGUCUUGGGGGAGCUCACUGAACUGCUUGGUUUUAGUGAUGAGUUGGUGGAGUGCAACUAGUCAUUGCCGACCGCCCCCCCGCCCCCCCCGGAAACUAUGGGAACUGCCUCGACCUGUGAGGUCAUUACAUCAUCUGUGACCUUGAACAUUACCCAUCAUUACAGGAGAAGAAACUCUCCUCUCCGUACUAAAAAAAAUAAAAAAGAAAGUGUAAUUAGCCAAAGAAGACAAUUAAUCCCUCUUCGCUCCAGGAAUCCAUAGCAGUGAUUCUCCUCAUAAUUUCCCAAGUGUUAGCCUGUCCCUUUUCCUUACAGAAAAACAGAAUCGUGGAAGUGAAAAUGGAGUCUCAGCUGAGCUGUCUUCUAGCUUGGCCGAAUCAUUUGUCCAUUCUAAUUCUCUCUUUGCUUUGCCUAAUACUUAGCGAUGUCUUGGUUCUUCUGCUGAACACAUUAUGUUUUCUUUUCAGUUUUGUUUCAUUACUGCUGGCGUGUCCAUUGUUUUGAGAAACAAAGCUUGCACGGGCUUGCCCCCCCAGAAAAUAAACUCUCCUUUAUUCCCGAAGGUGCUAUAGAUUCUUAAUGACGCUGAAGCCCACUCGGCAGUGCUGCAGUAACAGGCAAUUUGGGAGUAGGAUUCUUAUCCUGGCCAAAGGCCUUUAUCGCUGGUAAAAAUAAUAAAGUGAAUUCUGUGAAGAUUGUCUUUGAAAUCAUCACAUUUGAUAUUCUCCUUUGCACAUAAAUUAUUCACACACUCCUGAACCUUUUGUAUAGUAACAAAGGAGAAAUCCAGGGAAUCACACUUUUGUUUUUGCCCUUACGUAAUUCUUCGUGCAUGUAAACCGGACGAUGGGCGGAAACAUCCCAGAUGCAUCACAGACAUCAGUUUUUUCGUCUUCUCCUUGCAUAGAAGCUGCCACCAGCAAUGUGCAGUUUGGCCAACACCUCUGCCAUCGUGUGAACAAAGAGAGGAGUGUGUCACAAGACACACACACACGUAGGCUUUGUGGUGUCUGGUCUCAUCUGCGUUGUAAAAAUUUCGCCCAGUCAGUGCCGAUGUCAGAUACUUAGGCCUUGAAAAUUUAAAACCUAAAUAGCAACGUGGGCUGAAUUUUCACAUUUUAGUUUUAUUACUAUCCUAUUUCAUCAGGAAUGAAUAAGAGGCAGCUCCUGAUGUUGGCUGCGGCAGUCGGCACUCUUGAGAGAAAGAGAUAAGAGACUGAGAGAGAGAGAGACAUGGAGAUGAGAGACUUUGGACCGGCUGGAGUGUGGGUGCUGGCCAGUGUUAAGAGUGUGGGGCAGGCCGGCAGGCUGGAACCUCAGGCAGAGUUCCUUUUACAUCCAGGAACCUGUCUUUUUCUGAAGGCCUCCAACUCAUUGGAGGUGGGCAGAUGGAAGGCAACCUGCUUUUACAUAAACACCUCAGUCACGCUAAUUGCAUCUAAAACACAGCCUCACUGCAACAUCUACACUGGGAUUUGACCAAACUCCUGGGCACAUAGCCUAAGCCAGGUUGGCACAACUUUACCAUCAUCAAUGGUCUUCACACGGGCUUUGUUGAGUCCACCAUGAGAGGUGGACAUCUAACCCAUCUUUAAAAUCUCUGUUGAGAAAGUGUAUCAUACGCUUUCCAGAAUUUCAAAGGGAAUCUUAAAAUCCCUCUGUUGAAUCUCCUUCCUCAAGUGUAAUUUUUAAACCCACUAGUCCUUGCACUCCCUCUAGUAGAAGUGCUAAUAAUUAGAUAGCCAAUUCCUAUGAAAUUAAUAUACUUCUAUAAGCAACUUUUAAAAUAACCCUCUAACCAAGGAUUUCUAGAUACUGUGAAGUAUGAGUGACAUUCUUCAUGUGGCUCUCAGCUUUGUUUUAAACUCUUACAUUUAGGGUUUUUAAAAGUUUUAUUGAGUUUUAUUCUCAUACCCUAAAAAUCAUCUAUUUAAAGUGAAUAAUUCAGUGUUUUAAUACCUGUGCAAAGUACAUGAAAGAUGCUUAUCGGUGAGAUACAUAUCAUUAUUUUAAACAAUUAAAAUUAGAUUGCUUUUCAGAAAAAAUAGAUUAUAAAUAUAUCUCUAUAUAUCAUAUAUAUGUAUAUAUCAUAUAUCAUAUAUGGUGUUUUUUUGAGCUUCAUUUCCCUAUAAUCAACUUAUUCUUUUUGAAGUGGAUGGAUGUAAUAAUUACAAGUAUAUACUAAUAAUUUUCCUACAUAUUGUGCAUAAUUAUAGAAAUUUUAUUUCUAAAUAUAUUACAUCAUUCAGCCAAUACCAUUAAAAUGAAUACUUGUGGUAUGACUGUGAGGUCACAGCAAUUGGUAAUAACCCAAUAUCUGAGGUAUUACCAAGAGAGUGGGCUGGAGGGUGUGCUAUUUAGCUGAUGCACUGAUUCAAUGGCUAAACUUUCUAUCCAUUGAUAGUUGGGCUUAUUAAUAUAUUUCUUGUCUAAUCCUCAUGAGGGAAUAGCAAUGGGCAUACAGGAUAUAGAUUUCCUACCUUAAAAUCUUUGUUCAUGUAUGUAUCCACUCAGCCACUCACUUCUGAGCCCUUGCGCUGUUCUAGAAUCUAUGCUUGGUCCAUGGACAGAGCUGCCCUCAUGAAACUUACAGUCUCCUGGGGGAGGUAGACAUUAGCUAAACAUUCAGACACGUAAAUGCAACAUUACAUAACUGCUAUCAUGCUGAAAGGGAAAGGCAUGCUACUUCUCAACUUCCUAGACAAAGGAAAGAACCUAACGCAUCUGGCUUUAGGUGAGUGAGUGUUGUUUGUUUUACUUAAAAGAAAACAAUGUUACCAGUAGGUACCAUCAAACAACAAUGCCUCCCUUUCGGCAUGGUACUGACAAGGUUCCAGUCAAAGAUGCUGGCAUUGCUCCCUUGAUGGACUGACUGUAAAGAUUCCAUUUUCAUGCCUGGAGAACAGAGCAGAGCGUAGGAGGAUGGAGGACGGGAGAGGCAUUUCAUCAUUUAGCCAGAAAGGAGUUCUUGCACUGCAUUAUUGGUAAGAAAGUCAGAGUUGCUUCAUGGUGUGCUACUCCCUUGCAGGAGCAUGGUGGGCUCUGCAGCUGAUCAACCCUCAGUGAUCAGCUACAGAGCACAUCUGUGGAACAGCAGUGGGAUCAUCUGUGUCUUGCUUGGUUCAGAGGGAGGAGGGACCAGUGAGGUCUUCCUUUAGGAUCUUAGUUGUAUGGACCAUGCCCAGGGUGCCCUGCUGCUCUAGGCUUGUUUUAAUUUCUUUUUAAAAUUUUAAUGUAACACAUGAAAAAACAAAGUUGUAUAUGAACACAUAUAUAAUUUACAAAGCUUAAUAUCAGAGUAUAUGCCUUCUAGUUCUCUGCCAACUUAAGCCCUAAAACAGUGAAGAAUGACAUUGUGUCUAAGUUUUCAUACCACAUCUUUCUGUCUUUCCCCAGAGGUAACCACACUGCUGAAUCUUGCCUUUAUCUUUCUCUUGCUUACGUUUAUCACUACAUGUGGUUUUUCAAAAAAAAACCUUUGCUUUUGUGUGAGUCCCCUGCAUUCAUUUUAUUUCCUUGGUACCUGUCACUCUCCCACUCCUAGAGAAAUCUCAGAGAGUAUAAGGUGAGUCUUAAAACAGGGGCCUGCAUGGUUUAGAAAAGGGAAAUUGUGAGAAUCUGACCAACUGUCUACAUGAACAUGGAACACAGAAUAUUGCAAAAGUUGAAAAAGCACAUGUAAGGGGGGGGGUUGAGAUCACAAUCUUUAAUAUUUCAGAGAUUUGGCCAGUAAGACAAUAAAAGACAUCAGCAGAAUGGUAUGUUGAAAAGUGGUGAAGGCUUGGAAUGAGGCAGGUUUGAGUCUGAAUCUCAGCUUUUUCGAUCAGGAGCUGGGUGGCCCUGAGAAGUUAACUGACCUCUCUGAACCUCCAUUUCCUCCAUGGGGAGGGGGUUGGAGAACGAGUAUCUCCCAAACAUUGUGAAGACCUGGAACUCAGUAAGCCUUCAAUAUUCUCUUCUUCUGUGUAACAUCAUUAGAGGCCCCAAAUUCCAAUCAUUGCCUGUCUCUGGUUCCCAUCUUUUUCUGGAAUAUACUAUGAUCUUUGUCUUGAAUUUGUCAUGUUUGACUGUGUGCCAAACCACAGUAUGACAAUUUAUCCAAUUCUUCCUUCCUUAGACAAAUUUCCUGCCAAAUCUGAGAUUUUUAGGUUGCCCUGUCACCUUGCCUCUUAGAUUGAUUAGUUUUUUUGGCACUUUUAGCUAUUUCUCAAAAUUUAAUUUUCUUAUGUAAUAAGUAACUGCCAAUAAUAAUAUUUAGCAUCUAUAUACUCAGUAUAAACAAACUAACAGGCAACAGGAAGAUGAAAGUGUUAACAUCAGGUUGAUUCCAUUGGGACCAAGGGCCUCUGAGGGACCUGACCAUACCUCUCCAUCUCAGGGCAGCUGUGAACUUGACCUUGGGAACUAUUUGGUUACAUUUCUUUGUGCAGUUUUUUUUUUAUAGAGAACUCAGAUUUAGUCCUGCAGCUUGUGUGCCUCUCGUGCAGAGACUUGCAUGAAGCAAGCUAAUAUUCUGACCUGGUAGGGUGACUGCACACUGUGGGUAUUUGAGAUUCAGAAGAGGAUGUGGAUCUGACACAAAGAAUGAUUAUUAUUUCCUGCAAUGAGAACUGCAUUAGCAACAGAGAGGUGAUAAUAGGGGGACGUGUCAGAAAAAUGUUGGCAAGAGUCUUAGAGAAUAAAGUUCUCCCUAAUAUGUUUUCUUGUAUGUAGUUGCACUUGUAUCAGCAAAUUCUUAAAAAUCCGUAGAUGAAAAAUUUUGUAGGUCAAAUGUCAAUAUUGAUCAAAAUGUUAGAAAGCUCAAUACUCUUCCAGGACAUAUGCUAUUGAUUUAUUUUAUUGAGUUUCUACAGGUCCAUUAGGGUUAUUCCUUGGUGGGUGUUUUACAUAUGAAAACACAAUUAAAACCCAUUUAUAAUAUCUGUUCAAAUAAAACAUCUGCAGAUAACGGCCACAGAGUUUGCCCUCCCAAGCCGGUUUUUGAUAAAGGAUAUAAUUUCAUAUGUCCACAUGUGCAACUUGUCUUACUUAGGCACCUGGGAGAUGCUUGAAACUUGAUUGCCAAAUGUGGAGGGGAGGAGGGAGGAUUGCUGGCUUUCCAAUAAAGGUCAGAUGAAAUUGUUCUGGAAGCCUAAGGGAAUAGUUUUUAAAGAAGUUCUGUAAGAGAGAAGGUUUCUUACUGUAGGUGGCUCAGGACUGCAUGAAAUUACAGGACACUAAAGAAAGGAGUGCUUACUCGAACUCCUUUGUUCCAAAGGAAGUCUGUUGCCAAAAAGCAACAAGAUUCAAGGAGACGCAAAAAGCUGAACACACCAGGAAGCUAGAAAAUUGAAUAUUCAAAUGGGCAAUGAACGUGGAGCAUGUUCAAGAUGCUUGAAAAUGAUGUGAGAUGUUCAUCUAUUACCCUUGCCUCAAAGAUGUGCCUCAUGUGAGGUGAUGUGUUAAUUCUUCAUCUGGGCCCUGAGCUGUGUGCUUCCUUUGUGGUGACUCUACUAACUUAAUGAAUGCCUUUGAAUAUGUUCAACGAGUUCCUAGGAAGUUAGGAAGUUUGAGAAAACGUGAACUAAAUCAAUAGAGGAGAAAGAUGAAAUGAGUAUCUACAAAAGGGCUUGGCAGGGAUGGAACAUUUGCUCCUUUGACAAAUGACAAAGUAGGUGAUCGAUGCUCAAGCAUUGAUGCAAUUUUUCUUCUUUAUUCUCUGUCAAUAUUGGUGCAGGAGACACAGCCUGAGACCAGAAGUUUAGAUGACCUAAGUUUUAGUACAAGCCCUCUUCCAACUUUCUUUAGUUUUCUGUCAUAUGAAAGCUGAAAUACAUGAUUUAAGAUUUUUAUUAUAAAAACAGUAUCUUAAACAUUACUGAAGCAUUAUAUAUUCUCAGACUGGUAAAUGACCCUAACUUGAAAUAAAUUAUCCUGUGUCAAUCGUCUUGUUGAUUGAUUAGAUGGUGAACUACAACUAAAUCAUGAAUCAAAGCCAUGACUCCUAAAGGCUCAGGGAGUGAGUGAGAAAACACUGGCUCAGGUCAUAUCCUGUGGCUUAAUAAUCAUAAACCUGUCCAGUAUGUUCACAGUUUGAUUGCUGGCUAUAAAGUUCAAAUGCUAGACUCUGUGGUCAAAAAAAAGAUGCCUGGGCUCUCUAGAACUAGGCAGAAAAGGGGAAAUAAAACAAAAAAACCUCCUGAAUGAUCAUCAGUAACCAAUUUACUUAACAUGCAAAUUCCUUCCUAAGAACUAGGUACAGAGUGAAUUGUAACAGUAAAUUUAAACUAUGAUGAACAAUACUGAUAUGAUUAAGUAGUAGUUGAUUUAGAUUAUCUCCCUCUUUACUAGGUUUUGGAGUGCUUUUUUUGUUCUUGAAUACUUAGAAUACACAAUUCUAAGGGGUUGAUUUUGACCCUCAGAAUCUGGUCCUGCCUGGUCUAUCACAUCCCAUUUCAACUCCUCCAUCAUUUUUCACUUCUCAGAGCCCUUCACUUCUUCCCCUUUCUCUUCCAUCAGUUGUCUCCUGCUCACAGCCUGUCUCAUCUCAGGUCCAAA